UACGUAGGGGGCGAGCGUUGUCCGGAUUCAUUGGGCGUAAAGAGCUCGUAGGCGGCUUGGCAAGUCGGGUGUGAAACCUCCAGGCUCAACCUGGAGUCGCCAUCCGAUACUGCUAUGGCUAGAGUCCGGUAGGGGAUAGUGGAAUUCCUGGUGUAGCGGUGAAAUGCGCAGAUAUCAGGAGGAACACCGGUGGCGAAGGCGGCUAUCUGGGCCGGUACUGACGCUGAGGAGCGAAAGCGUGGGGAGCGAACAGG
This 254-nucleotide ribosomal RNA is filed under the name uncultured bacterium. RNAcentral describes it as "partial 16S ribosomal RNA". It matches the Rfam family "Bacterial small subunit ribosomal RNA", at positions 524 to 776 of the family's 1533-position model. The record is from RNAcentral.